AUUGAACGCUGGCGGCAGGCCUAACACAUGCAAGUCGAGCGGAUGAAGGGAGCUUGCUCCUGGAUUCAGCGGCGGACGGGUGAGUAAUGCCUAGGAAUCUGCCUGGUAGUGGGGGAUAACGUCCGGAAACGGGCGCUAAUACCGCAUACGUUCUGAGGGCGACAGUGGGGGAUCUUCGGACCUCACGCUAUCAGAUGAGCCUAGGUCGGAUUAGCUAGUUGGUGGGGUAAAGGCCUACCAAGGCGACGAUCCGUAACUGGUCUGAGAGGAUGAUCAGUCAGACUGGAACUGAGACACGGUCCAGACUCCGAGGGGAGGCAGCAGUGGGGAAUAUUGGACGAUGGGCGAAAGCCUGAUCCAGCCAUGCCGCGUGUGUGAAGAAGGUCCUCGGAUUGUAAAGCACUUUAAGUUGGGAGGAAGGGCAGUAAGUUAAUACCUUGCUGUUUUGACGUUACCAACAGAAGAAGCCCCGGCUAACUUCGUG
RNAcentral lists this ribosomal RNA (484 nucleotides) under uncultured bacterium. Its description in RNAcentral is "partial 16S ribosomal RNA". It matches the Rfam family "Bacterial small subunit ribosomal RNA", at positions 30 to 507 of the family's 1533-position model. The record is from RNAcentral.